This 980-nucleotide ribosomal RNA is filed under the name Limosilactobacillus fermentum. RNAcentral describes it as "bacterial SSU rRNA". It matches the Rfam family "Bacterial small subunit ribosomal RNA", at positions 41 to 976 of the family's 1533-position model. The record is from RNAcentral. Lineage: Bacteria; Bacillati; Bacillota; Bacilli; Lactobacillales; Lactobacillaceae.
GGGGUGCUAUACAUGCAAGUCGAACGCGUUGGCCCAAUUGAUUGAUGGUGCUUGCACCUGAUUGAUUUUGGUCGCCAACGAGUGGCGGACGGGUGAGUAACACGUAGGUAACCUGCCCAGAAGCGGGGGACAACAUUUGGAAACAGAUGCUAAUACCGCAUAACAGCGUUGUUCGCAUGAACAACGCUUAAAAGAUGGCUUCUCGCUAUCACUUCUGGAUGGACCUGCGGUGCAUUAGCUUGUUGGUGGGGUAACGGCCUACCAAGGCGAUGAUGCAUAGCCGAGUUGAGAGACUGAUCGGCCACAAUGGGACUGAGACACGGCCCAUACUCCUACGGGAGGCAGCAGUAGGGAAUCUUCCACAAUGGGCGCAAGCCUGAUGGAGCAACACCGCGUGAGUGAAGAAGGGUUUCGGCUCGUAAAGCUCUGUUGUUAAAGAAGAACACGUAUGAGAGUAACUGUUCAUACGUUGACGGUAUUUAACCAGAAAGUCACGGCUAACUACGUGCCAGCAGCCGCGGUAAUACGUAGGUGGCAAGCGUUAUCCGGAUUUAUUGGGCGUAAAGAGAGUGCAGGCGGUUUUCUAAGUCUGAUGUGAAAGCCUUCGGCUUAACCGGAGAAGUGCAUCGGAAACUGGAUAACUUGAGUGCAGAAGAGGGUAGUGGAACUCCAUGUGUAGCGGUGGAAUGCGUAGAUAUAUGGAAGAACACCAGUGGCGAAGGCGGCUACCUGGUCUGCAACUGACGCUGAGACUCGAAAGCAUGGGUAGCGAACAGGAUUAGAUACCCUGGUAGUCCAUGCCGUAAACGAUGAGUGCUAGGUGUUGGAGGGUUUCCGCCCUUCAGUGCCGGAGCUAACGCAUUAAGCACUCCGCCUGGGGAGUACGACCGCAAGGUUGAAACUCAAAGGAAUUGACGGGGGCCCGCACAAGCGGUGGAGCAUGUGGUUUAAUUCGAAGCUACGCGGAAGAACCCUUACCA